RNAcentral lists this ribosomal RNA (440 nucleotides) under uncultured bacterium. Its description in RNAcentral is "partial 16S ribosomal RNA". It matches the Rfam family "Bacterial small subunit ribosomal RNA", at positions 339 to 795 of the family's 1533-position model. The record is from RNAcentral.
CUACGGGGGGCAGCAGUCGAGAAUCUUCCGCAAUGGGCGAAAGCCUGACGGAGCAAUGCCGCGUGCAGGAUGAAGGCCUUCGGGUCGUAAACUGCUGUCACCGGGGAUGAAUAAUGACAGUACCCGGGGAGGAAGUCACGGCUAACUACGUGCCAGCAGCCGCGGUGAUACGUAGGUGACAAGCGUUGUUCGGAUUUAUUGGGCGUAAAGGGUUCGUAGGAUGUUGAUUAAGAUUGGUGUGAAAUCCCAAGGCUCAACCUUGGAACUGCAUUGAUUACUGAUGAACUAGAGUGUCGUAGAGGAAAGCGGAAUUCCAGGUGUAGCGGUGGAAUGCGUAGAUAUCUGGAAGAACACCGACAGCGAAGGCAGCUUUCUGGGCGAUAACUGACUCUGAGGAACGAAAGCAUGGGGAGCAAACAGGAUUAGAUACCCCCGUAGUC